GAGAGAGAAAGAGAGAGAGAGAGACAGACAGAGAGGAGAAGGAGAACUAGACAGAAAGAGGCAGACGAGGAAAAAAGACUUUCUUUUUCUUUCUAGAGGAAUUCUGCCCAGACCCAGCAGCAGUUGGUAGCAAGCAAGCUUUCUCCUGGGUGUCUCCUGGAAAAGUUGCAAAAUUGCUCUUCACCUGUAAGAACAUGCUCUUUAUCUUCCAGUCUCUUCUUGUCAAUUUGGAAACUGCAGACAGCCUGGCUCAGAAGAGAAGACUUGGGGUUCAGAGCCGCCCCCCCUCUCCUGCAGUGGAAAUGGACUUCCCUCGGGUCGAGUACAGAACUUCCCACACAGGCGGGUGGGUGAGUGCCCUUGGCGUUGCCCUCAUUGAUCCGGCUGGACACCAGAAACAGAUAAUCUGGUGAGCAGCUGAGGCACAGACUACCUGGGCUCCCACUUAGAGGCUGAUAUAGGACUGAAGAAGCAGCUGCUCUGUCAAACCUAGAGAUCUUGAACCUGAGGGCUGUGGACAUAUUCUUUGUAUCUUCCCUGCAGCUUGGCACCAGCAUCCAAAACCAUUCCUGUCACAUGCAGACAUUCUGUUGAAAAAGUAAAUGCACGGAUGGUGUCCUGGAAGCACUCUAUGAUUAUCCCUGGUAAUUUGCUUGUCCUAAGAUCAAUGCUUAAACAACAGCACAUGAACUAGAUAACAACUCCACAGUUAUUUGUAUCAGGCAUCAGAAAAAUCUUUCUGGGAGCCUUGAAACGAGGACACCACUAUCUUAGGACUUCUAAAAGUGAAGACCAAACACAAUUUAAAUAAAAAGAUAUGUCAUAAAAGACGUACAUCAACCUCAGUAAUUAGAAUUGGAAUUCAAAGUGAAUCAAUUAAAAAAUUUCACAAAGCCUGCAUGGAAAACUGCACACUGCCCCUUUUUCAAGCUGUCCAACACUUAGGUUGCUUUGUUUCAAGUAGAAAUGGAGUGAAAAUAUGGCAGUGGGAGGAGCUACGGCACAGAAACCCAAGUCAGAAAUUGCUAACUACUGAGUCAAGCUGGUUGAUAAGAAAGCCACAGGUGCUGUACAACUUUCCGUUUAUAACCAUAGGAAGAAAAAAAUUUCAUCUCUUAAACUGAAACCUGAACAUUACUGACUCAUUCAGAACAAUGUGUGAUCUUAACACAUGGCUUCUGUGCGUUUUAUAAACACACAAUUUCACAACUGAAAGCUUUCGGGGAUUCCAUUUGCUAUGCUGAGAGACUCCCUGGAUGGAGGGGUCCUGGAAAUGCCUGAGGAACUCCAAGCAAACAGGAAGUGUGGGCAGCGCUGCACCGUGAAGAAUUGCAAAGCACAGUGCCGCGUCUAUCACAGCCGCCCACCUGGGCACCACCCAACUUUGCACGAUCUGUUUGCUCAUGUUGCAAACACAAACAAAAUCGUGUAUAUUGUGUAGUCCACAGUUGUUCCUGGUCACUCUCUGGGUUACUAAGCCAAAUUGCAUAAUGUUUAUAUUUUGAAAUCACAAACUUGUACCUCGGAAGGGCUCAUAGAGCAUUUUAAUAAAUGGUCAGAGUAACGCCCGUAAAGGAAGUAGAGGAAGGAAUUGAUGGGCUCCUGACCAUCAAAGAAGAUAGGAGACACACUUGAAGGCAGCUCUCCCAGCCAGAAUAGAUUUACCUGAAGCUAAUGGGGCUGCACAUGUUGUAACCGCUUUAGAACACCCAGCCUGCACGGGGCCUUCCACGGGCAAGAGAGGGAGGAGCUAUUUUUUGAAAGUGCCUGUUGUUUUUUCCUAAAGAGGCUCCCAAAUGUAUGUGCUUCAGCCCUCCAAAACUUGAAUCCACGCAGCCUCUGCUUUCUCUAGCCUUUCUCUGAAAUUAUGGAAAAUUCUUUUAUUAACCAUUUCAUAUAGAAAAACACUGGCAGAUACAGCGAUUUUGGGGGGCACCUUUAUGGGGCCUAGCACAGAGCCCUCCACAUUGCUGGGCUCAGUGUUCAUUUGAUAUAAAACAUUAAAUAAGUAAAAACAAAGCAUAUGGCUCGUGUGUGUGUGUGUGUGUGUGUGUGUGUGUGUCUGAUACUCAUCUUGAAUGUUUGGCUUUAGAUGUUCAAGGUUUACCAAAAAAUGAAAACAUCAGUUUUACUCCAAAGACCUGUGUGGGAGUAAAUGAACGUUUAUCUAUGAGGACCAAUGAAAAGGGACUGAGGGAGAGCCCUGAGCUUUUGUUGGAAGACUCUGGGCAAGGGCUAAUAAAAUAAUUUCCUAUCUGUUCUUGUUAUUUAGCAUACAUACCUUUAUAUUUUGUUUUAUUCAUUAGCAAACUGAAAAUCUGUGACUUUUAGAGUGAGCUAUUAUAUAUUUCUACUCAAAUACCGCUUCAAUUAAAAUAGAUUUGCACAAACUACUUUGAAUGUGUUGCAAAGCUCAUUGCACAAAGUUGACUAAGUGGAGUCAGAAGUGAAAAAUUUUAAAUGGCAAUAGCGCAUGCGCGCGCGCGCACACGCGCGCGCACACACACACGCGCGCGCGCGCGCGCGCGCGCUCCUGGUGUCUGGAUUCUGAAAUUCAAUCUGAGAAGAAAUGAGUCUGCUGCGAGAAGGCCUAUAGUUCACUUCAAGUUAAACAGUCAAUCCAAGGGCUUUCAGGUGAGGCCUCUAAGUGAUGUGUGGAAAAUUCUCAAAAUAAUCAAUUUCUUACAGAUGGUCUGUAAAUGUCCUCAUUACAUGAAGCAAGCUGCAGUGUCUACCAGCCCCUACAGUCUGUGCCCAACGCCCAUUUGUGCCCCUCUGAGUGGCUCACUUUUUAAGGCCUUAACAAUAAAACCUGACCCUCCAG
This 2824-nucleotide long non-coding RNA is filed under the name Sus scrofa (pig). RNAcentral's name for it is "lncRNA (ENSSSCG00035022664.1)". The record is from RNAcentral. Lineage: Eukaryota; Metazoa; Chordata; Mammalia; Artiodactyla; Suidae.